Molecule: ribosomal RNA, 403 nt
Filed under: uncultured bacterium
Lineage: Bacteria
Description: partial 16S ribosomal RNA
Rfam family: Bacterial small subunit ribosomal RNA
Source: RNAcentral
GACGAACGCUGGCGGCGUGCCUAAUACAUGCAAGUCGAACGCAGUGGGGACGGGUGAGUAAAACGUGGGUAACCUCCCAUCAGAGGGGAGAACACUUGGAAACAGGUGCUAACCCGAUAUUGAUGGAUAGACCCGCGGUGCAUUAGCCAGUUGGUGAAGUAACGGCCCACCAAGGCCACGAUGAAUAGCCGACCUGAGAGGGUGAUCGGCCACACUGGGACUGAGACACGGCCCAGACUCCUACGGGAGGCAGCAGUAGGGAAUCUUCGGCAAUGGGCGAAAGUCUGACCGAGCAACGCCGCGUGAGUGAAGAAGGUUUUCGGAUCGUAAAGCUCUGUUGUUAAAGAAGCGGUAUCUAACCAGAAAGCCACGGCUAACUACGUGCCAGCAGCCGCGGUAAUAC